CCAUUUUGUAUUUGUAUGGCGGCAAACGGCAUCACGGCAUGGCAACUUUGGGAAAGAAACAUCGCCAUUGAUAAAUUGGAUUCAGCAUAUUGAAACAUCAUAAUGAACUACAAUUUAAAUUUGUUACUUAGUUAGUGCUUGGAAAAUCUGCAGGAAAGUUAUUGGGAUAUACUCAACAAGCAAUAAUGUUGCUGCAGACCCGGACAAAAAUGCUUGUGCUCCCUAUGCUAUUUCAAUACGUGAAAACAAGAUUUGGUUAAGUAUUCUGAAGUGUUCAUGUGUGGAAAGGAUUGAGUGCUGCGAACAAUCCCAAUGCUCUAUGGUGAAUGGAUGAUUAGAUUUUGUUGCUCUGGUCUUUACCUGAGUGUGUUUAAUUGACUUCAUAUAUUUACAGCUGAUGCAGUGUUUCCUGUAUAUACUAUGUAAAC
Molecule: long non-coding RNA, 428 nt
Organism: Uloborus diversus
Lineage: Eukaryota; Metazoa; Arthropoda; Arachnida; Araneae; Uloboridae
Exons: 3
Source: RefSeq, a predicted model, not a curated record